Molecule: long non-coding RNA, 655 nt
Filed under: Equus caballus (horse)
Lineage: Eukaryota; Metazoa; Chordata; Mammalia; Perissodactyla; Equidae
Description: lncRNA (ENSECAG00000050534.1)
Source: RNAcentral
UUAUUACUUCCGUUCAACAGAUGAAGAAACAGAGGCAAAGAGAGUAUAGGUUUGCCUAAGACUACCCACCAGGUAAGUGGUGUCGCUGGCUUUAAACUCAGAUGGUGUGGCUCCAGAGGUAAUGCCCUUAAACCCAAGACUUGCCGUAUAAGCUUCAGCCCUGCUAAUAGCUGGAGUAUUCAUUGCAGAUCUUUCAACCAGAGGAAAGGAUGGCCUUCAGAAUCAUCUGGAGCGCUUCAUGCUCUAUCAGGUUCUCCAAGGCCCUACCAGCUUCCUCUGUUAGUUUUCACCUGAGUCAUCGAAGAGCAUUCUUCAAAGUAGAAGGAUUAUCAGUGACAGCAUAAAGUCUAUUCAAGACCAGAGCCCAGAAAGGUGCAAAACUUCAGAGAGGCAUCAGAAUCAAAGCUGAACAGUUGGAUUCAAAUUGCAGAGGAAGAAAAGGAACAUCUCGGAGAAUCGCGAGGGAUCUGACUGUCGAUAUUGCUUUCAAUCAGCUUGAGCCCCUGCUGCAUUUUAAAAGCAGAGAACAGAGGAGGAACAGAGAGGCAUCACGGGGAGAGAGAACUGCUGAGAAUGGCGAAGAAUUUUCCAGGCUGGAGAGUGAAGAAAGACAUGAAUCCUCAGAGUAAAUGUUUACAUCAAUUGCCGAGACAGA